GCCUCACAGUCAUGACCAGCAAGACACCAGCAGUCACAUAGUCACUCAGGUACAGGCCGGCCAGGUGCUGUUUCUCCCUCCUCUUGAUAUGCAGUGCUGCCCCAAAUGUUUCACUUGGCUAGAGAUGCAUUCCCGUGUGUGUGAUGUGGAAUUCCCCACAAAGGAGAAAACCGUCAUGAGAACACUUCAGUGCACGGCACUUGAUACAGAAGAAACAAACUGAACUAAUUUUCAUCUUAAAAGUUUAAAACACAAUUAAGUGAAACUUCCACAUAUAACCUUCUGCCAACACUGCAAAGGAUGUUAACAAAUUGUUGCUAAGUAGGGCAGUCAGACAGCUAUUCAUCACAGUCUUUUAACUUAAGAGAAUUUCAAGUGGACGCAAGGGACAAGAAGCAGAGAGCUGUCCCUGCACUGUGACUCAGCACUGCCUGGCCCCUGUCCCUCGUCACCCACAUCAGUGACUGUCCACAUCAGAGCCAUCGCAGCGGGGACUCUCCUUCAGCACUUCCACGUUUGUCUCAUGCAGUCCGUAGAGACCCUCAACGCAGGCACCAGCUGCUUCCCGGACAGUGUGAUGCACUUCUGGAAAAAGCUGUGGGUCUGGGCAUUUUCAGCCAGCUCUUAGCUCUUAAGGACACAGCAGCAUAUACUGCAGACCUGCCCCAGAAGCCAGUCUCAUUCCUAUUCAAGGAUCACAACUGAUCGUAAGACUGAUGGGGAGAAAGCACAAACGUGAAUCUUGCAAAGAUGUAAGAAAGGCUUUAGAACCAAAGCUUCAAGCCGUGUGACGUCACCAUCGUUGGGGAUCUCAAAUGUCUCUCCAAAGCCCUCAGCUGUAGUCAUCAGUGGAUUGAUCACAGCUGAAUGUGCAGUCAGGAGGUGGACCUGGUUGGAACAGGUGCGUGACCUGGUGGGAAGGAUCUCCGACCCCAGAUCCUCCCUUCUACCUCUGCUUCCUGGACGCCAUGACAUGAGCAGCUCUCCGCCAUGGCAAGCUCUUCCACCACGCCAUUUCUGCCUUCGAGCCUGCCAGCCACGGACUGAAACUUCUCAAACUGUGAGCCAAAAUAAAGUCCCCUUCUUUAAGUUGUGGGUGUCAG
Molecule: long non-coding RNA, 1103 nt
Filed under: Chinchilla lanigera (long-tailed chinchilla)
Lineage: Eukaryota; Metazoa; Chordata; Mammalia; Rodentia; Chinchillidae
Description: lncRNA (ENSCLAG00000024714.1)
Source: RNAcentral